AUGAUUUGCUUGGCCUGGAACUGUCGAGGACUAGGGUUGGACUCGACAGUUGGCGAACCACGGGACCUCAUACGGUCACACAACCCAGUGGUGGUUUUUCUGUCGGAAACAAAGAAGAAUGCCAAGGCAAUGGAUAGACUGAAGUGGAGCCUUGGGUUCCGGAAUGGUGUGGCAGUGGAUUGCAAUGGGAGAAGUGGGGGCUUGCACUAUGGUGGAGAGAGCACAUUCAGGUCACAGUUAGGCCAUGGUGCCAGUAUUUUAUUGAUGCAAUGA
Molecule: ribosomal RNA, 273 nt
Filed under: Triticum aestivum (bread wheat)
Lineage: Eukaryota; Viridiplantae; Streptophyta; Magnoliopsida; Poales; Poaceae
Description: partial small subunit ribosomal RNA
Source: RNAcentral